GGGGCUUUAGCUCAGCUGGGAGAGCGCCUGCUUUGCACGCAGGAGGUCAGCGGUUCGAUUCCGCUAAGCUCCA
RNAcentral lists this transfer RNA (73 nucleotides) under Sulfobacillus acidophilus DSM 10332. It matches the Rfam family "tRNA". From Rfam's summary of the family: Transfer RNA (tRNA) molecules are approximately 80 nucleotides in length. Their secondary structure includes four short double-helical elements and three loops (D, anti-codon, and T loops). Lineage: Bacteria; Bacillati; Bacillota; Clostridia; Eubacteriales; Clostridiales Family XVII. Incertae Sedis. The record is from Rfam by way of RNAcentral.